AGCAGCCGCGGUAAUUCCAGCUCCAAUAGCGUAUAUUAAAGUUGUUGCAGUUAAAAAGCUCGUAGUUGAAUUUCGGGAUUUGUCAGUUGGUCGGGCUUCACUGUCCGUAUUGACUUGAUGGAUUCUUACCUUCUGAAUAACCAGCAUGCUAUUAAGUUAGUGCGUUGGGGAAGCAGAUCUAUUACCUUGAAAAAAUUAGAGUGCUUAAAGCGAGCUAGUGCUUGAAUAGAUUAGCAUGGAAUAAUAAAAUAGGACGGCAUGGUUCUAUUUUGUUGGUUUCUAGGAUCACCGUAAUGAUUAAUAGGGAUAGUUGGGGGCAUUAGUAUUCAAUUGUCAGAGGUGAAAUUCUUGGAUUUAUUGAAGACUAACUUCUGCGAAAGCAUUUGCCAAGGAUGUUUUCAUUAAUCAAGAACGAAAGUUAGGGGAUCGAAGACGAUCAGAUACCGUCGUAGUCUUAACCAUAAACUAUGCCGACUAGGAAUCGGACGAUGUUAAUUUUAUAAUGACCCGUUCGGCACCU
Molecule: ribosomal RNA, 520 nt
Filed under: uncultured Acaulospora
Lineage: Eukaryota; Fungi; Glomeromycota; Glomeromycetes; Diversisporales; Acaulosporaceae
Description: SSU rRNA
Rfam family: Eukaryotic small subunit ribosomal RNA
Source: RNAcentral